AGCCUAACCCUUUGGUCUGCGUAAGUAGGCGAGAGGCAUGGUUGAAAAUCGUGUUAACAGUACUGAUCCCGUCGUUCAGGUAUGUUAACACGUCACUUAAGGAAACUUUUGUGGGGCUUUACGGUCC
RNAcentral lists this small RNA (127 nucleotides) under unclassified sequences. RNAcentral describes it as "LOOT RNA". It matches the Rfam family "LOOT RNA". From Rfam's summary of the family: Latescibacteria, OD1/Parcubacteria, OP11, TM7. The record is from Rfam by way of RNAcentral.